AUAUUGCGCAAUGGCCGAAAGGCUGACGCAGCGACGCCGCGUGGGGGAUGAAGCAUUUCGGUGUGUAAACCCCUGUUGCUCGGGACGAACAACCUCUUUAGAGAGGUCUGACGGUACCGGGUGAGGAAGCACCGGCUAACUCCGUCCCAGCAGCCGCGGUAAUACGGAGGGUGCGAGCGUUGUCCGGAAUCACUGGGCGUAAAGGGCGCGUAGGCGGUCUGCUAAGCGUGCGGUGAAAGCCUGGGGCUCAACCCCAGGUCUGCCGUGCGAACUGGUGGACUAGAGCACUGUAGAGGCAGGUGGAAUUUCGGGUGUAGCGGUGGAAUGCGUAGAGAUCCGAAAGAACACCGGUGGCGAAGGCGGCCUGCUGGGCAGUUGCUGACGCUGAGGCGCGACAGCGUGGGGAGCAAAC
This 412-nucleotide ribosomal RNA is filed under the name uncultured bacterium. RNAcentral describes it as "bacterial SSU rRNA". It matches the Rfam family "Bacterial small subunit ribosomal RNA", at positions 361 to 773 of the family's 1533-position model. The record is from RNAcentral.